AUUGAACGCUGGCGGCAGGCUUAACACAUGCAAGUCGAGCGGGGUGAUGGUGCUUGCACUAUCACUUAGCGGCGGACGGGUGAGUAAUGCUUAGGAAUCUGCCUAUUAGUGGGGGACAACACCUCGAAAGGGAUGCUAAUACCGCAUACGUCCUACGAGAGAAAGCAGGGGAUCACUUGCGACCUUGCGCUAAUAGAUGAGCCUAAGUCGGAUUAGCUAGUUGGUGGGGUAAAGGCCUACCAAGGCGACGAUCUGUAGCGGGUCUGAGAGGAUGAUCCGCCACACUGGGACUGAGACACGGCCCAGACUCCUACGGGAGGCAGCAGUGGGGAAUAUUGGACAAUGGGGGGAACCCUGAUCCAGCCAUGCCGCGUGUGUGAAGAAGGCCUUAUGGUUGUAAAGCACUUUAAGCGAGGAGGAGGCUCUUUUGGUUAAUACCCAAGAUGAGUGGACGUUACUCGCAGAAUAAGCACCGGCUAACUCUGUGCCAGCCGCCGCCGUAA
RNAcentral lists this ribosomal RNA (503 nucleotides) under uncultured bacterium. RNAcentral's name for it is "partial 16S ribosomal RNA". It matches the Rfam family "Bacterial small subunit ribosomal RNA", at positions 30 to 523 of the family's 1533-position model. The record is from RNAcentral.